UACAGAGGGUGCAAGCGUUGUUCGGAAUUAUUGGGCGUAAAGGGCGCGUAGGCGGUCGAGUAAGUUAGAUGUGAAAGCCCUGGGCUUAACCCAGGAACUGCAUUUGAUACUGCUCGACUAGAGUGCGGUAGAGGAUAGUGGAAUUCCCGGUGUAGAGGUGAAAUUCGUAGAGAUCGGGAGGAACACCAGUGGCGUAAGCGGCUAUCUGGGCCGCAACUGACGCUGAGGCGCGAAAGCGUGGGUAGCAAAC
Molecule: ribosomal RNA, 250 nt
Filed under: uncultured bacterium
Lineage: Bacteria
Description: partial 16S ribosomal RNA
Rfam family: Bacterial small subunit ribosomal RNA
Source: RNAcentral